UCGAGGAUCAUUCGCAAUGCGCGAAAGCGUGACGGUGCGACGCCGCGUGCAGGAUGAAGGCCUUCGGGUCGUAAACUGCUGUCAUGAGGGAACAAUGUCCGGAAUGUUAACACCAUUUCGGGGUGAUAGUACCUCAAGAGGAAGCCACGGCUAACUCUGUGCCAGCAGCCGCGGUAAUACAGAGGCGGCGAGCGUUGUUCGGAUUUCCUGGGCGUAAAGGGUGCGUAGGCGGUUCUGUGUGUCGGAUGUGAAAUCUCACAGCUCAACUGUGGAAUUGCAUUCGAAACGACAGGGCUGGAGUACAGGAGAGGAGAGCGGAAUUCUCGGUGUAGCGGUGAAAUUCGUAGAUAUCGAGAGGAACACCGGGGGCGAAGGCGGCUCUCUGGACUGAUACUGACGCUGAGGCACGAAAGCUGGGGGAGCAAACA
This 428-nucleotide ribosomal RNA is filed under the name uncultured prokaryote. RNAcentral's name for it is "bacterial SSU rRNA". It matches the Rfam family "Bacterial small subunit ribosomal RNA", at positions 355 to 774 of the family's 1533-position model. The record is from RNAcentral.